RNAcentral lists this small RNA (4513 nucleotides) under Pongo abelii (Sumatran orangutan). RNAcentral's name for it is "retained intron". Lineage: Eukaryota; Metazoa; Chordata; Mammalia; Primates; Hominidae. The record is from RNAcentral.
AGAAGCCGCGCGGCAACGCGGGCCCGACCCGCCGCGGGCCGCGCUUCGUAAGGCCGCGUGGUGGGGUGCAAGGGGACAGACGACGUUCUUUUGAGUCUUUGGGCCGGUGUUUAGGUUAACGAAGGACUGUCUUUGCCUCCACGGAAAGGACGGAGUCUGGGAUGUCCUUGGGGCCUCUUAAGAUGGAAACUAAUCCGAGGCCGACUAAGUUCUGGGCCCGUUAGGUGGAGGGGAUUGCGUGAGGGCUUUGUGUUUGGCCUAAAUGAAGCGCUUUUCUCUGAUGCUGAAAGGGCUUCCCAGGCAAAAAUCUGUAUCAGUAUUCUAUUAGGACAGACCACAAAGUCGCUAAGAUGAUUUUGUGGACAUCGCAUUUCCAAGGGAUUGUGAAGGAGAAAUUGGCGGGCAACCAUUUACGGCGCCGUUAUUUCCUUUGUUUUGAGGCGUUCUAAUACUUAGAACCACAGCGUGUGUUGGCUACAGUUUUCUUUCCCUUAAGUUUCCACCUCUUAAAGGUGUUCAGUGAGGGUUGAUUGAAUUGCGGGAACUAGACAGUUCUAGGGUUUAAACAGCAUACGUAGCUGGUCUGUGGGGCUCUGGGUAUUAGAUUCGGAAAGCAUUGAACGAUGCGAACAUACGAGGCUUGCUAGAAUUAAGAGGAAUCUGUUAGAAGGGUAAUAGAAAAGCACCAUAGAAAUUGAUUUUUGAGGCUGUUAUGGGAAUAAUUUGUGUUUUGUUUUUUUUUUUUAAGAAUUUGUUACCUAAGUUUCUCCUUGUUGGUAAAGCUACCUUAAGAUCUGAAUAUGAUUUAUCAGGUAAAUAAGACUAUUAAAUGUGUUAGCAAACUUUCGAUUAAGAUUUUAGAUGAUUCGUUAGAGUAUUUUAGGAAGAAACUUUCAGUGAUGAAGCGUGAGUUUCCUGCGUAAUUUUGGAGCCCAAACUGCUUAAUUUGGUUUGAACUAAUCAAGCCUUGCGUUUACAUAUUCGGAUGAGCAUAGAGUUUUUAGUUUUUGAUUUUUCCCGAAGCUGAUUGACUCCAAUGUCACGAGUGUUUUAGAUUUUUUUCUUUUUUUAAGUUCUUGCUUUCUUGGGUAAGAAAGUUGGGAUUGAGCUCAAAAGUUGUUAAAAAGUCGUGACUUCUGAUCAUUGGCAGUUGAAUCUGUUAAAACUAGUCAUUGGUGUUUGGACUGCAAAGCGAUUUUAAAGUCUUUUGUUACUAAACAGAAAAAUUCAAUUAUUGGGUACCUUUGUACUCUUCAAAAAUACUAAAUGACUGGCUUCUGACUAGAGGAGCUCUCGGUUGAAUACACGUGAAGAAUGCUUGAGAAUGGAAAAUUGCCCAAAGAGUUCAUUAGUAUAUUUUACGUGAGAAGGGAAAUAAUUGAAAUUAGGUUCCAGUUUGAGACUCGGCUCAAGAGAAAUUUGAAAUUUUCUGAUUGGUUGUUAUCUUUUUACUAGUAAAAGUACACUGUGUUUUUCGCAAUCUUUGACUUGUAGAGGGAGGUUAACUUAAUAUGUUAAAAAUUGAGAUUUUUUUUUUUCUUACAUAAGAGUCUUCGCUUUCUGGCGGAGAUCUCUAAACUUUUAUGUUGUGAAAUACUUCCAUAUUGUUGUGUUUGGUGUUUGCGUGUUUGUGUUCCAAUUGGAACCUUUAAGGGUUGGAAUACACCUGAAUCAAACACGUGUCUAGGCUUCCAAAGCAAGCUUGGGAAACCAUAAAGCUCAAUGGAACAGUUUGAUCUUAGACAUGCCUGUGGUGUAAAUGAUGCUUCUCUGGAGCCAGAAAAAUGAGUGUUACUCGACUCGAGGCUUCUGGACUGGGUCUUAAUGUAAAUCAUUAAUCUCUUCAAAUCAGUGGAAUUCUCCCUUAUUUAUCUGUCUCUAAUCCAGACAAACCCACCCCUCUGUGCCCCACCUUUUCCAGUGACUGUAGGAGUUUGUUGUUGUGUCCCUCCCCUUUAAGGUUGGGUGUAGGGGAUAAAUUAUUCUCACUUUGAUCACUCAAUAGAAUACAUUUGGGUGAAUAUAAUGACAUUUAAAGAAGUGACGUGUCCCUUAUCCUUCGUUGUUCUGUGGGAUUUAUUUUUCCCCCAUCUCAAAGGUAAUAAUAGAUUAACACUAAAAUCUGUCUAUAGGGGUCUGAUUAGCAGACUUAACCUGAUCUGGCCAAACCACUUUCAAAAGUAAGAUCUCAUUUUCAUCUCCAGAUUCAAGCCUCUUCCCCCCAAAUUGCUUGCAUUUUGUAAAGGGGUUGACUAGCACCAUUUCUUUGCAAAAAGAGGCACUCCUGGCCUUUAAGUCACAAUUACAAGAACUUGAAUAAAAAGCUGAUAAGUUUAGAAGUGCAGGGUAAUCUUCAGAGCCCAAUAAUGGUCACAGCGUAUAGGGUGUGUGAGAUUUGUAUGUUGGUCUUGCACGCGGUGUAAUGUUCUGACCCUCUCAACAUUGUAAUGAGUUUCUACAAGUCAGUCUUUACUAAAGGAAUCCAGAAACUAAGGAGACACUGAUGUAUGGACCAGAUGUUAAAGAAAAUGUUUUGACACAGCAGAUACUCUGAUAGAAUACUGGCUAUUAUUUUUGUAGAACCGAUGUGUUUGCAACAUAGGCAUGUAAUCUUUAUCAUUAGAGAUUUUAUCAUUAGAGAUGAAUAGCAGCAUCUGGACACCAACCCAUCAAACUGCCUUUCAAAUUCUGCAGUUUUUCUCAUCUUCUGCUUAAUCUUGGGAUGUCUUUAUAUUCCUUGGUUUUAGCUCCUAAACUCUAAAUUCUGAUUUUCAAAACUGAAACAUCUCUGAAUCUACUUCUUUCUAGUUGUAGCCAUCUCACCAAAUUCCUUUAAAAAAGGAUUGAAUUGUCAAAUAGGAGGAAAUUGUUUUGUAUUGUGAGUCUGGUUAGGUUUAUCAGUCUCUUGAAACCAGGUUGAAAUAUUUUUUUUUCUUGGUUUUAAACAAGAAUGCUUUAAUAUUGUGGAUAUUAUCUGGAACGUGACAUUUUCAAGCUGACAUUACAAGUGAUUUUAUAAGGUUAAUGUUGAAGAAGGAAAAUGCGGAAGUCGUCAUUUGACAAGUUUUAUAAAUGAGUAUUUGAAGCUCAGGAAUAAGUGAAGCUGAAAUUUGAAAAAAUAAAAGAAAGAAUGCAUGCUAAUUAUCAGACCAGAAGUCCCACUUGUAGAAUAUUGAGCAAUUUGUGUGAAGUGGGGAAGAUGAAAGAAGUCAGAAUUUGAAACGGAAGAAUGAAGAAAAGAAAUAAAAAUGAAGUUAAGAUAAGAAGUAAUCUGGAAUCAGAAAGCACUACGCUAAGAAUCCCGUUCUGCUUCCAGAAGUGGAAGUGCUCACGGAUCGGGGAAAUCUGCAAGGCAUACCCCUGCAAGGUCUCGCUCCAAGGAAGAUUCCAGGCGUUCCAGAUCAAAGUCCAGGUCCCGAUCUGAAUCUAGGUCUAGAUCCAGAAGAAGCUCCCGAAGGCAUUAUACCCGGUCACGGUCUCGCUCCCGCUCCCAUAGACGAUCACGUAGCAGGUCUUACAGUCGAGAUUAUCGUAGACGGCACAGCCACAGCCAUUCUCCCAUGUCUACUCGCAGGCGUCAUGUUGGGAAUCGGGCAAAUCCUGAUCCUAACUGUUGUCUUGGAGUAUUUGGGCUGAGCUUGUACACCACAGAAAGAGAUCUAAGGGAAGUGUUCUCUAAAUAUGGUCCCAUUGCCGAUGUGUCUAUUGUAUAUGACCAGCAGUCUAGGCGUUCAAGAGGAUUUGCCUUUGUAUAUUUUGAAAAUGUCGAUGAUGCCAAGGAAGCUAAAGAACGUGCCAAUGGAAUGGAGCUUGAUGGGCGUAGGAUCAGAGUUGAUUUCUCUAUAACAAAAAGACCACAUACGCCAACACCAGGAAUUUACAUGGGGAGACCUACUUAUGGCAGUUCUCGCCGUCGGGAUUACUAUGACAGAGGAUAUGAUCGGGGCUAUGAUGAUCGGGACUACUAUAGCAGAUCAUACAGAGGAGGAGGUGGAGGAGGAGGAGGAUGGAGAGCUGCUCAAGACAGGGAUCAGAUUUAUAGAAGGCGGUCACCUUCUCCUUACUAUAGUCGUGGAGGAUACAGAUCACGUUCCAGAUCUCGAUCAUACUCACCUCGUCGCUAUUAAAGCAUGAAGACUUUCUGAAACCUGCCCUAGAGCUGGGAUAUUGUUUGUGGACAAUAUUUUUUAUUGUCUCUUGUUUAAAAAGUGAACAGUGCCUAGUGAAGUUAGGUGACUUUUACACCUUUUAUGAUGACUACUUUUGGUGGAGUUGAAAUGCUGUUUUCAUUCUGCAUUUGUGUAGUUUGGUGCUUUGUUCAAAGUUAAGUGUUUUCAGAAAAGUAUGUUUUGCAUGUAUUUUUUUACAGUCUAAAUUUUGACUGCUGAGAAGUUUCUAUUCUACAAAACUUCAUUUAAAAGGUUUUUCUACUGAAUCCAGGGUAUUCUGAAGAUCGAAGCCUGUGUAAAAUGCUACCAAAUGGCAAAAAGCAACAAUAAACAGUUUGAUUUUU